GCGUCCUUAGCUCAGCUGGAUAGAGCACGUCCCUUCUAAGGAUGUGGUCAUUGGUUCGAAUCCAAUAGGGCGUGCCA
RNAcentral lists this transfer RNA (77 nucleotides) under Vibrio parahaemolyticus 49. RNAcentral's name for it is "tRNA-Arg". It matches the Rfam family "tRNA". Rfam says of the family: Transfer RNA (tRNA) molecules are approximately 80 nucleotides in length. Their secondary structure includes four short double-helical elements and three loops (D, anti-codon, and T loops). Lineage: Bacteria; Pseudomonadati; Pseudomonadota; Gammaproteobacteria; Vibrionales; Vibrionaceae. RNAcentral also lists the same sequence under 4 other names. The record is from RNAcentral.